Molecule: ribosomal RNA, 416 nt
Filed under: uncultured bacterium
Lineage: Bacteria
Description: bacterial SSU rRNA
Rfam family: Bacterial small subunit ribosomal RNA
Source: RNAcentral
UCGAGAAUCUUCGGCAAUGGGCGCAAGCCUGACCGAGCGACGCCGCGUGGAGGACGAAGGCCCUCGGGUUGUAAACUCCUGUCGAGGGGGAAGAAGGGUCCGCAAGGACCUUGACUGAUCCCUGGAGGAAGCACGGGCUAAGUUCGUGCCAGCAGCCGCGGUAAGACGAACCGUGCGAACGUUAUUCGGAAUCACUGGGCUUAAAGCGCGUGUAGGCGGGCCGGCACGUCGGUGCUGAAAGCCCCCGGCUCAACCGGGGAACGGGCGCCGAUACGACCGGCCUGGAGGGGCGUAGGGGGAUCGGGAACUUCCGGUGGAGCGGUGAAAUGCGUUGAGAUCGGAAGGAACGCCCGUGGCGAAAGCGCGGUCCUGGACGCCUGCUGACGCUGAGACGCGAAAGCCAGGGGAGCGAACGG